GGUGACCUGUAGGGAAGUUUAAAGAGUAUUCUUGUAUUUUCUUUAAUGGCUAAACAGAGGAUUAAAAUGGGGGAAAAUCUUAAAUCCAGACCUUACCAUGGUAUAGAGAGGGAUAAAAGUAGAUGGCAUAAUACAAUGAAGAACUCUCUCUAUGUUCUUUUGAAAAAUGAACCACCUUGAGUUGACAUGUGCUCGCAUCUGCAACAGUGUAAGAGAACUUUUAAAAGAGUAUCUUGAACAAAAUACAGGUACCUCUGUUUACUUUGUACAAUUUAUUAUUAUUCUGCAUUCCCACUUAUAACAAUGUUAAAUACAAGGUCUAAUUCUUAUUUCCGUAAGGGUUGUUUCAAAUCCCUUUUAGAAAUGUCAAUAAAACAGGAUAGUAUCUUGAAAAAUGUAUAGCAAAUACACAAAACCUGUUAGGGAGGUCUAUUUUAUUCAGAGGUCAUUAUAAGAACUGUAUUUCAGCAAAGGGUUUGUUCAACCAUAUCUAUGAAUAAUCUGUGAGCCCACAGAUUUGACCAAUUGCUAUUGUGUCUUGUUUAGGUUGUAAUACUGUUUAUGGCAACAAGGGAUUAUUUGAAGCUGUGGCUGUCUUGACCUGCUAAUUACUCAGGACAAGUAAUAUCUUGUUGCUGUCCUGUCUUAAGUACUCAGACUAGAUACAUCACUAAAGCAUUUUAGUUAUCUUCUGUUUACCCUGAACUCAUUUUUAUUUCUUUAUAUCUUCAGGAGAGAGCAAAAACAGUGUGUCGCUUUCUUUCUUAAAUUUAUCUUGUGAAUUUUUUUGUUGUUGCUUAAAAACUAUAACUAUAACCACUAUCAUGAGCUUUCCAUAUGACUGACUCAAAACAGAAUUAAUGGAUUUUUGAAAGUACAAAUUUUUUUUUAUAUUGUACCGUUUUUCCAUUGCAUAAAGCUCCAAGGGAUAUUCUAAAUUUGCAGAGUUAAAAUGUUAGAUGGAAAGGUCAUUCAGCAUUUCUUAGAUUUCCUAAAUAUGUCAACACAUCCACUAACAUAGCAUAAUACUAACUCUACUAUUCAGUAUUUGAUCCUGUGAACUAUCAGUGAUUUUGUAAUUGCCAUUACUUUAAAAUGCUCCUAAAGUAUAGGAACAUGUGUGUGUGUGUGUGUGUGUGUGUGUUUAUAUCUAUUCUUAAGCAGCAUGUGUAAGAUGGGGAUAGAGCAAAGAAAAAGAAAAUCAAAAGAACAUUUUCAAGGUAUCUAUGAAUCACCUCAUGGGAUGGAGCUGAAACUUCUCACUCACCUCUAUGUAAUUAUACAUGGAUAGGUCCGAAAUUGCAUGGUCAUCUGGAAUUCUAAAUCUUGAGAAUUCAGGAAGACAUAUACCUGGAAACCAAGUUAAAUAAUAUAUUGUUCCAAAAGUCUAUAAAAAUGUGCUGGGCUGUACACAGUUCAAACUAUAUAUUCUUUUUUUUUAAAAAAAGAUUUAUUUAUUUAUUUUAAAGUCAGAGUUACACAGAGAGAGGAGAGGCAGAGAGAGAGAGAGAGAGAGAGAGAGAGAGAAAGGUCUUCCAUCUGAUGAUUCACUCCCUAGAUGGCCGCAACGGCCAGAGCUAUGCCUAUCUGAAGCCAGGAGCCAGGAGGCCAUCUUCUACUGCUUUCCCAGGCCAUAGCAGAGAGCUGGACAGGAAGUGGAGCAGCCGGGUCUCGAACCAGCACCCAUAUGGGAUGCCGGCGCUUCAGGGCAGGGCAUUAACCCAUUGUGCCACUGCGCCAGCCCCCAAACUAUAUAUUCAAUACCCAUGUUCUCUCUAAUCUUUUCAAACUAUAGGUACCCAUUCUGCAUGACCAACAAUCUAUAACUUUUGAGCAAUGCACAGGGUAUUUCCUGUUGUGAUUAAAUAAAACUUAAAGUUAAUAUACUAUAUAAUUAUUAAUAAAACAUUAUUUGUCUUUAUUCAUAAGUGUGAAACAGUUCACAUCAAUGAUACUCAAUGACCUGUAGCCCCUCUUUGAGUCUGCUUCUCUCUUUUCUAUGCUCCUUUGGUAUCCCAUGCACAUUUGUUUCAUUGUAUCUAAAACAUAUUAUUAGCUUAGAUAUCAGCUUCCCCUAGAGGACACCUUUCAUGUUUUAUUCAUGCUGGUAGUAGUAAAUAUUGAAUAAAUGUUUGACAGAUGAAUGACUAACUUGCAUUGCUUUCACACAAUGAUCGAUUAGUUGUCAUGAGGCCUUUUCUGAAGUUAAAAAUCCUGAAUUCAAGUUCCAGCUUCAUCACUCUGAGGCUGCAUGAUUUGGGGUAAAUUAUUUAAUAUAUUUCUGAGCUUGAAUUCCCCAUUUGAAAAUGAUGACAGAAUAUUAUUAUGUUCCGUGUUUCUUGUGGGACCAAAUGAGACAACACAUUUUUUUAAAAAGGAAGAUACUAAUGCGUAUUAAAUGUUCAGUAUGUUACUAAUGAUUAUUAUUGAUUUGUCUUCAUUUUCUAGUACUCAAAAACCAGUGUUGACAGUAUGCUCUGAUAUCUGUAUGAACCCUCUCACCACCCUUUUCAUAGUCAGGCUAAAAAGGGAGGAAACGAUGCCUCUGGAUCCUGAGCAUCUAAGUGAGAUGGGGAAAGAAAGGAACAGGAGGAGGAGGAGGAGGAGGAGGAGGAGAAAUUUACUCUGAAACACCCCCACUCUCUUCAGAUCUACUCUCCAAUGUCCACUGACUUUCAUUAACGCCAAAGCCUACACGUACUUUGAGGUGAAAAAGGACUGAGGUUUUAGAAAGAUGAAGUGACUUACUGAAGAUCACACAGCUAAGAGGGUUACCAUCAUCUUUGGGAUUUGAGUUUCAUCAUAUGAUUUUGGGCCUUAUCUGUUACCAAAACUAGAAUAAAGUACAUACUCUUUGUUUUGAAUUUGGAGUAACUCAAGCCUACAGAGCAAAAGGCACAUUUGUCCAUCUGGAAACUUACGCUCCAAUUAGAGGGAUGGAAUCUGGAAAGUGCUUCUGGAAGAAGUCCAGCACAUCACUACCGGUUAGAAGUUUCUCAAAUUCUUCAAAGGGCAUGAACAAAGUGCAUGUGAAAGAUUUGUUCUGCGAGAAGAGAAACAGUGUGAGAGAAUAAGGAGCCAGGCCAGGCCAGCACUAAAAGUGGAGCCCUAAAUUACAGGACUUCCUGCUGGGAUCUUAGACUUUCUGGAAGAAAAAUCCAAAUAGAUAGGAAAGGCACUAUGAGCUUGUCCCCUCUCUCACAAAGAAAACCUCUGCCAAGCCCCGGGGUGGUCCCCAGCUUCCUUGGUUAUUAGAGAAACUUCUACACGGUACACUCUCUAUUUUCAGCAAGCGAAUACUGCACUCCUUACAUUACUAACAGGAUCAUUGGAUUUGAUUUCUCCUCUUUCGUUUUCUUCCUUUUAAGAAAGGAUUAAUAUAAAUUGGACCCCAGAAGCACAAAAACCAACCAGAGAAACAAACAAGUAAGAAGAAAACUCUCCAGCAUGCAGAGAAAAGCAAUGCCCUUCUUUGAUAACAUUCCAGUGUCCUACAACCCUUAAAGACUGAACUAACUUCCUAUCAUAUAGCCUAAAGGUCUUUGGCUUUCUUAGUUGGAGGAGAGGGGCAUUUCUUCUAGCACUUUUUUUGAGGUUGUUGUUGUUAUUUGAAAGAAUUACAGAGAAAGAGGGAGAGGGAUUGGGAGAUGGAGAGACAGAGAGAGACAGAAUCUUCCAUGAAAGACAGAGCUACAGAGAGAGAGAAGUCUUCCAUCCACUGGUUCACUUCCCCAAAUGGCCUCAAUGGCGAGGGUUGGGCCAAGCUGAAGCUAGAAGCCAGGAGCUUCUUCCAGGUCUCCCCCUUGGAUUCAGGGGCCAAUUACUUGAGCCAUUCUCCACUGCUUUCCCAGGCACACUAGCAGAGAACUGAAUCCAAAGUGGAGCAGCCGGGUCUUGAACUGGAGCUCAUAUAGGAUGCUGGUGCCACACCUGCUACCCCACGCUGCCUGCCCCUCCAGCAUUAUCUUUACCGGAACUGACUAGCACCACCACAUAUAAACUCCCAUUAUUCGUUCGGGUAAAUCCAAUCUGCUUUUUAAAGUAAAUAAUUGGAUUCCUUCAAAAUCCCAGAGUUUCAAAGAUUUAAAAGUGAAUAGAUUGGGGCAGUGUUGUGCCUUCAUGGGUAAAGCCACCACCUGCAGUGCCAGCAUUCCAUAUGGGCACCAGUUCUAGUCCCAGCUGUUCCACUUCCCAAUCAGCUCCAUGCUAACGUACCUGGAAAAGCAGUGGAGGAUGGCCUCCAGGCACCCACAUGGGAGACUGUAAGGAAGCUCCUGUCUCCUGGCUAUGGCUGGCUGUUGUAGCCAUUUGGGGAGUGAACCAGCAGAUGAAGGAUCUAUCUGUCUCUCCCUCUCUCUUUGUAACUCUGCCUUUCAAAUAAAAUAAAUCUUAAAAAAAAGAAAUUAAAAAAAUUCUACACACACUAAGUAAAAAAUGUACAGAAUGGAAAACACUAAUUACAGAUGCAAAAUUACAGUUGAUAAAAAGCUUUAUACUACCAUGUUAGGAAGUGCAAUCAUCAUAAAGGUAUUUCUAGGCCAAAUAUGCAGAUAAUUAGGUUCCAUGGCAUA
Molecule: non-coding RNA, 4571 nt
Organism: Oryctolagus cuniculus (rabbit)
Lineage: Eukaryota; Metazoa; Chordata; Mammalia; Lagomorpha; Leporidae
Source: RefSeq, a predicted model, not a curated record